UGAUAAAGAAAUGAUCAACAUCUUUCUGUUUCUCUCAAGGUUGCUUUGUCUGAACCCUGCAUCUUUUCUCGCUGUCUAAAGUAUAAAAUACACUUGUAAACGUAUAGAGGUCAGAGUUCCUUUGAGAGCUCUCCCUGCGAUCACUUGUAUAGCUUUAAAUAAAUCUAGAUGGCUCUGCCAAUUCUGAUACAACCACAACGCGAAGUUUGAUUCCUUCCACAAUUUGGUGUCGUGACUCAGAUAGAGACGCCUGUAGUGAUCGGUUGAGAUAUGGAUUGUCUCCUCACUGAUGCCCUGGCACUAAACUAAGGACCUGCUCCUUCUUGGAGAAAAGGCCAAGAAAACAAUGACUGCACAGGAAAGAAGCUCUGCUCUUCACGUCGAAGGGACCAGGACAAAGCGGGUGCUGCUGCUUCCCCUGCCUGGGAACAAAUGGAAAACAACCCGAACACCAGGUUUUCUACGAAUGUGUGUUCUAGCACCGUGCGCUUAGCCCGGCCUGCUUGGGGGUUUGCUUGAUGGCACAGCGUGAUUUGCUGGGCACGGGGAUGCAUGAGGAUCCACACCUUUAGUGCCAGCAUUCAGUGUUACAGUGACAGGUUUCACGCACUGAUACACAGCUUUAUGGAAGAUUUUGUCCUGCAAAAUUGGGAAUUAUACAUGUAAAAUUACAUUUUAAAUAAA
This is a long non-coding RNA of Alligator mississippiensis (American alligator), 684 nucleotides long. RefSeq lists it as uncharacterized. NCBI's taxonomy places the organism in Eukaryota, Metazoa, Chordata, Crocodylia, Alligatoridae. The transcript is spliced from 3 exons. The record is from RefSeq and is a predicted model, not a curated record.